RNAcentral lists this ribosomal RNA (465 nucleotides) under uncultured bacterium. RNAcentral describes it as "partial 16S ribosomal RNA". It matches the Rfam family "Bacterial small subunit ribosomal RNA", at positions 28 to 507 of the family's 1533-position model. The record is from RNAcentral.
GACGAACGCUGGCGGCGUGCUUAACACAUGCAAGUCGAACGGAAAGGCCCCUUUGGGGGUACUCGAGUGGCGAACGGGGGAGUAACACGGGAGUAACCUGCCCUUGACUUCGGGAUAACUUCAGGAAACUGGGGCUAAUACCGGAUAGGAAUCCUUGCUGCAUGGUGGGGGUUGGAAAGCUUCGGCGGUUUUGGAUGGACUCGCGGCCUAUCAGCUUGUUGGUGGGGUAGUGGCUUACCAAGGCGUUGACGGGUAGCCGGCCUGAGAGGGCGACCGGCCACAUUGGGACUGAGAUGCGGCACCGGCUCCUACGGGAGGCAGCAGUGGGGAAUCUUGCUCCAGGGGCGGCGGCCUGAUGCAGCAGCGCCGCGUGCGGGAUGACGGCCUUCGGGUUGUAAACCGCUUUCAGCAGGGGCGAAGCUUGUGGUGACGGUACCUGCAGAAGAAGCACCGGCUAACUACGUG